This 493-nucleotide ribosomal RNA is filed under the name Aeromonas hydrophila. RNAcentral describes it as "bacterial SSU rRNA". It matches the Rfam family "Bacterial small subunit ribosomal RNA", at positions 26 to 506 of the family's 1533-position model. The record is from RNAcentral. Lineage: Bacteria; Pseudomonadati; Pseudomonadota; Gammaproteobacteria; Aeromonadales; Aeromonadaceae.
AGAUUGAACGCUGGCGGCAGGCCUAACACAUGCAAGUCGAGCGGCAGCGGGAAAGUAGCUUGCUACUUUUGCCGGCGAGCGGCGGACGGGUGAGUAAUGCCUGGGAAAUUGCCCAGUCGAGGGGGAUAACAGUUGGAAACGACUGCUAAUACCGCAUACGCCCUACGGGGGAAAGCAGGGGACCUUCGGGCCUUGCGCGAUUGGAUAUGCCCAGGUGGGAUUAGCUAGUUGGUGAGGUAAUGGCUCACCAAGGCGACGAUCCCUAGCUGGUCUGAGAGGAUGAUCAGCCACACUGGAACUGAGACACGGUCCAGACUCCUACGGGAGGCAGCAGUGGGGAAUAUUGCACAAUGGGGGAAACCCUGAUGCAGCCAUGCCGCGUGUGUGAAGAAGGCCUUCGGGUUGUAAAGCACUUUCAGCGAGGAGGAAAGGUUGAUGCCUAAUACGUAUCAACUGUGACGUUACUCGCAGAAGAAGCACCGGCUAACUCCGU